GACAGAGGGUGCGAACGUUGUUCGGAAUUACUGGGCGUAAAGGGCUCGUAGGCGGCCAACUAAGUCAGACGUGAAAUCCCUCGGCUUAACCGGGGAACUGCGUCUGAUACUGGAUGGCUUGAGUUUGGGAGAGGGAUGCGGAAUUCCAGGUGUAGCGGUGAAAUGCGUAGAUAUCUGGAGGAACACCGGUGGCGAAGGCGGCAUCCUGGACCAACACUGACGCUGAGUGAGCGAAAGCCAGGGGAGCAAACGGG
This 254-nucleotide ribosomal RNA is filed under the name uncultured bacterium. RNAcentral's name for it is "partial 16S ribosomal RNA". It matches the Rfam family "Bacterial small subunit ribosomal RNA", at positions 524 to 776 of the family's 1533-position model. The record is from RNAcentral.